RNAcentral lists this unclassified non-coding RNA (366 nucleotides) under uncultured Russula. RNAcentral describes it as "sequence contains ITS2". Lineage: Eukaryota; Fungi; Basidiomycota; Agaricomycetes; Russulales; Russulaceae. The record is from RNAcentral.
AACGCACCUUGCGCCCCUUGGCAUUCCGAGGGGCACACCCGUUUGAGUGUCGUGAAAUCUUCAAAACCCUCUUCUUUGAUCCAUUUUGGUCGGGAAAAGGAUUUUUGGACUUGGAGGUUCAAUGCUCGCACUUUCUUUUGAAAGCGAGCUCCUCUCAAAUGAAUCAGUGGGGUCCGCUUUGCUGAUCCUUGACGUGAUAAGAUGUUUCUACGUUUUGGGUUUAGCACUGUCCCUUGGACACCUGCUCCUAACCGUCUCACGGACAAUGAUGGUGCUCUGGUCACCGCCGUUUACAUCGGUGGGAGGCUGGACCCACAAAAAGAAAACCUUGACCUCAAAUCGGGUGAGACUACCCGCUGAACUUAA